Long non-coding RNA from Passer domesticus (house sparrow), 4930 nucleotides. RefSeq lists it as uncharacterized. The transcript has 2 exons. Lineage: Eukaryota; Metazoa; Chordata; Aves; Passeriformes; Passeridae. The record is from RefSeq and is a predicted model, not a curated record.
GUCCCAGUGUCACAGGAUAUCCUGGGCUCGAAGGCACCCGUGAGGAUCAUCAUGUCCAACUUCCGGCCCUCCACGGGACGUGCCCAAGUGUCGCACCGUGUGCCUGAGAGCAUUGUCCAAAUGCUUCUUGAGCUCUGUCAGUGCUGUGCCCACUGCCGUGGGGACCCUGUUCCAGUGCCCAGCCACCCUCUGGGUGAGGAACCUUUUCCUGAUACCCAGCCUGAACCUCCCUCGACACAAUUUCAGGCCGUUCCCUCCGGUCCUGCCACUGGUCAUGAGAGAAAAGACAUCAGUGCCUGCCCCUCCUCUUCCCCUCAUGAGGAAGCUGUAACUGCAGUGAGGGCUCCCCUCGGUCUCCUCCAAGCUGAACAGACCAAACAACCUCAGCCGCUCCUCAUACAGCUUCCCUUCAAGACCCUUCACCAUCGUCAUCGCCCUCCUUAGGCCGCUCUCCAACAGCUUAAUGUCUUUCUUACACCACGGCACCCAAAACUGCACACAGGAUUCAAGGUGAGGCAGCACCAGCGCAGAGCAGAGCAGGAAGUUUUUUCCCUCCUGGUACCAGCAGAGUUAUCCCAGCAUGCUGAAGAAAGACAGCGGCAUGUAAAUGAUCUAAGGGACUUGAAGAAAGGAGGCACUACCAUGACAGUGCCUUUCUGUUUGGGAGGGAGAUGGUGGCUAGGGGAGCACUCCUGUGAAAGAGGGCCCAAAGGCCACAAAGUGAGGAAAACUCAGCUGGUGAAUCACUUACUGGGAGUGAAAGUGAAGAUUUAAGCUUAGCUUUCCCAGAAAGGGAACUCACGAGGACGUGUUGGAACAGGCUGUCCGAAGAUAGGAGGGCAUGUCAGACACUGCAAAUGUCGUGUGUCAGGAGAGAGAAAGAGCCUGCCCAUCCUGCUUUGAGAUGGUGGUAUUUGGCUUUGAAAAACCUAAGUCCUCUUUUUACAGCUGUCUCUGUCCCUGGGGAAGUUUUCCCCCUUUGCAGUUUAACCUUGUUAUCUACCUUCUAUCCACUGUGAGCACUAGAAAGACUUGGAAACGCUGGAGACACUGGCACAGAAGGCCCAGAGAAGCUGUGGAUGCUCCAUCCCUGGCAGUAUUCAAGGCCAGGUUUGCCAGGGCUCUGAGCAACCUGGUCUCAUGGAAGGUGUCCCUCUCCACUGCAGGGGGUUUGAACUAGAUGAUCUUUAAGGUCCUUUCCAAUCUGAACCACUCUAUGAUUCUAUGACAUUGAAAGCAUUUUAUUAUCUUCCUCUCUUCUUUACUUUAUCCUUUUACUGAGAUGUAGCCCUUUGAUUUGCCUCCUCUCAGAAAUACCUUCAGUUUGUUCAAUUCUGUCUCAGAGGUCUAUUUUCUAGACCUCUGGCUAUGUCCAUUGCUCUCUGAAUUCUCCCCAGUACAAGUUUACAUCCUCUUUGAAGCCUGGCUGUUCAAUAUUGAAGGUUAUACUCCAUCUGAGUCUGUACCAGAAGCAAGCAGAGGGUUUUUUCUGGUGCAAUAUGCAAGAAAUUGCUCACCUGGCUCACAAAAAAUUAUCUCAGUAUUAAAUCUCAGAUAUGAGAGUCUGCCUUUCUAAUUAUAGGCAGUCAUCUAGGUAACCAAGGAUGACAACACUUUUAUAUGUAUCUGAAGCAAUAAUGGCUAACACUGAACUAUUGACUAGGGUUAGUUGCAUUUAAAAUUUUUUACAUUUAAAAAUUGCUUUUGUUUUUACACUAGAAUUGUGUUUGUCUGCAGUAGGAGGGUGGAUAGAUCUUAUAUUGUUAGUCAACUUCCACUGAAAAUUCAGUUUUCUUUAUGACAACCUUACAUAGACCUACUAGAGGCUCCUCAAAUGCUAAUAAAAACGGAAAUGGGUGCAUCUCAACAGUAGUAAGAUCAGCCCCAUUUUCUGGGACUGUGUCACCCCCAUAUAUUGUAGAUCCAAGACCCUUUGGUUUUGUUCACUUGCAGAAAGAGUGGAUCUACACAGACAAACACCAUUGCUUUACAGUCUGCUUUGGAUCCUGCUCAUAAGAUCAUAGAACAGUUUGGGUUGAAAGGGACCUCAAAGACCAUCUAGUUCCAAACCCCCUGCCCUGGCAGCGACGCUUUCCACUAGACCAGGUUGCUCAGGGUUCCAUCCAACCUGGCCUCAAACACUUCUAGGCAUAAGGCAUCCACAAUUUCUCUGGAUGAUUUGUUCGAAUGUUUCACUAUCCUCAUUUGGAAACAUUUAUUGGAUUGAUAUCCAAUCUAAACCUACCCUCUUUAAAACCAUUGCACCUUGUCCUUUCAGUACAGGCCCUGAAUAAAAAGUGUCUCUUUCUUUCUUGUGAGCCCUCUUAAUGUACUGAAGGGCUGCAAAAAGAUCUCUCUGCGGCUUCUGUUUCUCCAGGCUGAACACACCCAAAUCUCUCAGCCUGUCUUCAUAGGAGAAGUGCUCCACGUGCUCCAGCCCUCUGACCAUUUUAGUUUCUUUCCUCUGGACCUUGUCUGAUGGGUUGGUGUCUGCCUUGUGCUGGGAACCCCGGGGCUGGAUGCAGUACUCCAGGAGGGAGCUCAAAUGUUCCCCUGGGAUUAACACUGAAUUAACAAUUAAUUAAAUUGUCCCUCUGCCACCACUCCCAGCUCAGGCUGUGUACUUAGAUCACCUGCACCACUACAUUAAAAAAAAAAAAAAAAAGCAGUGGAAUGGGUGUCUCUAACGGGAUGGCAUUUGCAGCAAAGCAGCGUCGCAGGGGUUCAGGUGGGCCUGUGCUCCACUUGCAAAGAGCCCAGCAGCAGGUGACAGGAGCAUGGCUGACCACCUCAGGACUCCUUACAGAGGGAAUCCAUGAGGAGUCAUCACUCAUAUUCCAAGCGUAAAUGACAAUAGCAAAAACCUCUGUAAAAGCCUGACAAUUGGGGUGGCUCAGCUGGCAACCCAGAGGGGAAGUCAGCUAGGCAGAGAUCUCUCCUGGCUUCCUCCAGGCAGCCUUUCCAUAGCUGUUUCCAUGGAAACUGAAUUUGAAGGGACAACAAGCAGGAGGAAGAGCUCAUUUUCAUUAAUUCCUCAUUUAAAAUCUCAACCUUGUGUUUGCCAGGAACACAUUUAGUGCCAUGGAGGAGGACCCAGGGGCCAGCUGUUGAACUGCAGAGCUGUGUGUUAGUCACCCAUUUUCUUCUUGCUUGCAUGGAAACAGAGGUGUCUGAGAAGAGAGAUGGCCAAAUUCAGGCUUGCACAGCCUUUCAUUCUUUAUUUUCCCCUUGUCCACUUAGGUGGAGAUGAAGAGUUGGCAGUGUCAUCAGCAGCCACACAGAAUUGCUCUUCAUCCAUUUUAGGAAUGGGCUAAUUGAUGCAGCCUGAUGGUGCUCGGUGAAAACCAGCACAGCAGAAGAUGCAAAAGGCCUGAUGCUGCCCUGUUGAAGCUGAUGGGAGUUUUGCAUUUAGGAAUCCAUGUGCUUUCCUCAAAGCCCAGCAAGGACUAGGGAAGAUGUGCUCCUGGGAGCUGGCGGUCCCACAAGAUAUCAGGGAUGGACACCAUCAGAGAGGUUUCCACGUGCUGGAGAAGCUGAGUGCUGCCCACAUCUGGAUGCUCCCUGUGUUCAGUGCUGUACACCAGAGCUGUGCUGGGCCUCCAUGGAGUCAAAAUAUUUGGGUCUGGAGCCAGAGCUGAGAUCUGCUGUGAGGCACAGAGGGAAUCUCCUGCAGAAGCUGGUUUUGAUUUGGGAGUAUUGAGCCAGGAGGACUAUUGCACCAACAGCUGAUGCUCUAACUUCACUCAUUCCUGCCUGCUGAUCUCCUCAUCAACAAAUUAAGGUAUUGUACCACCUCAGCACAAAAGGUCAGCAGCAUCUACCAUCACUCAUCUCCUGGACUUUCCGCUAAUGAGCUGGUGAAGAGCAAGGCAUUUUCUCUUCAGCUACCAAAAAAAAUGGUUUUCAAUGGAUUUAUUUCCCUUGUGUUAUAAUUUAGCAAACUUGAUUCUAUGCCACUGAUAUUUCCCCUUAUUUUGUAGGUAUAGGCAAUGCACAGUCACCAAGGUAUGUUAUUGAUGCAUAAAUUAUCUCCUAAUGAACUACGGUUUUGCAGAGGGAGCUUCCCAAUGAGACUAGGAGAAGGCUGUGUGACUAAACUGAGCAAAAACAAGAUUAUUGACAAAAAGAGCAGAUCUACAAUGCUCCUAAAGAAAAACAGGGCAAUUCUGUUAGAAAACUUCUCAGCCUGAAAGCAUAGGCAGGUGUAUAUAAUUUUGAGAUUGUGUGUACAUAUAAAUGCAACAGAGGCGUCUAUUUUGUGGGUGUCACUGCUUCAGAAGUGAUCACUCUGGGACUCUUCAAUGCCACAAGUGUCAGUGCUGUCAUUAAAGGAAAUGAACCACAUGCAUGUACAUCUAACCUCGUGUCCCGCCCUUGCACCUAGCUGCAGCUCAGCCACAGCAGGGCCUCACAACAAACUCUCACUGAGAUAAUUAACUGGAGACAUCAGAGGUGUCUGCUUCAUUACUGCUGUGUGCUGCUGCCUGCGGGUUCCCUCCAAAGUUUUUCCACCUAAUGGCCUUUGCUGAUAACUCACUUUUUUUCCUAUGUGCUGCUUGUUGGCAUUUCUCUAAAACAGCACUAAUGAUCUAAUAGAUAUGAUUAUGCAAGAGUGGUUUGUCUCCUUUCAGCAUAAGCUAACAAUGCUAUUACAGACCAGAGCAAAAUACAUUCUCUUUGCCACAAAGAACAAAUUUCCCACCAAAUUGAAAUAAAUAAACUGGAAUAAAUAGAAAGUGUUACAGACCUGCAAUUGAAUAAUAUUUUACUGGAUUUCUGUUGAUGGAUGAGGUUAAAUAAGGUCUGAAAUUUUGCCUUCUAGUUAAUUGUUAUGGCUUAAACAUGAAAAAAAAAAAGGAAUGGAAGUGACAUUUCAGUCAGUGUGAGAAAAAUAAACAGAAAAGGAACCAAGGAAAACAGAAAAUAAAAC